GACGGGCCGCACAGCGGUGGAGUAUGUGGUUUAAUUCGAUGCAACGCGAAGAACCUUACCUGGUCUUGACAUCCCGGAGACCCUUAGGAAACUAGGGGGUGCUUCCAUCUGGAAGAAUCUGGAGACAGGUGCUGCAUGGCUGUCGUCAGCUCGUGUCGUGAGAUGUUGGGUUAAGUCCCGCAACGAGCGCAACCCUUGCCUUUAGUUGCCAGCAGUUCGGCUGGGCACUCUAAAGGGACUGCCGGUGUUAAACCGGAGGAAGGUGGGGAUGACGUCAAGUCCUCAUGGCCUUUAUGACCAGGGCUACACACGUACUACAAUGGCCGAUACAAAGGGCAGCGACACUGCGAGGUGAAGCCAAUCCCGUAAAAUCGGUCUCAGUCCGGAUUGGAGUCUGCAACUCGACUCCAUGAAGUUGGAAUCGCUAGUAAUCGUGGAUCAGCAUGCCACGGUGAAUACGUUCCCGGGCCUU
RNAcentral lists this ribosomal RNA (472 nucleotides) under uncultured Desulfobulbus sp. RNAcentral describes it as "bacterial SSU rRNA". It matches the Rfam family "Bacterial small subunit ribosomal RNA", at positions 918 to 1380 of the family's 1533-position model. Lineage: Bacteria; Pseudomonadati; Thermodesulfobacteriota; Desulfobulbia; Desulfobulbales; Desulfobulbaceae. The record is from RNAcentral.